AUUGAACGCUGGCGGCAGGCCUAACACAUGCAAGUCGAGCGGUAACAUUUCUAGCUUGCUAGAAGAUGACGAGCGGCGGACGGGUGAGUAACGCGUAGAAAUCUACCUAGUAGUGGGGGAUAGCCCAGAGAAAUUUGGAUUAAUACCGCAUACGCCCUACGGGGGAAAGCGGGGGAUCUUCGGACCUCGUGCUAUUAGAUGAGUCUGCGUCGGAUUAGCUUGUUGGUGAGGUAAUGGCUCACCAAGGCGACGAUCCGUAGCUGGUCUGAGAGGAUGACCAGCCACACUGGAACUGAGACACGGUCCAGACUCCUACGGGAGGCAGCAGUGGGGAAUAUUGCACAAUGGGCGCAAGCCUGAUGCAGCCAUGCCGCGUGGGUGAAGAAGGCCCUAGGGUUGUAAAUCCCUUUCAGCGAGGAAGAUAAUGACGGUACCCGCAGAAGAAGCCCCGGCUAACUCCGUG
RNAcentral lists this ribosomal RNA (463 nucleotides) under uncultured bacterium. RNAcentral describes it as "bacterial SSU rRNA". It matches the Rfam family "Bacterial small subunit ribosomal RNA", at positions 30 to 507 of the family's 1533-position model. The record is from RNAcentral.